Molecule: unclassified non-coding RNA, 3491 nt
Filed under: Hevea brasiliensis (rubber tree)
Lineage: Eukaryota; Viridiplantae; Streptophyta; Magnoliopsida; Malpighiales; Euphorbiaceae
Source: RNAcentral
AGUUGAGAGAACACCAAAUUCUCACAGUUAUCAUCUACUUCUUGCUGUUUGGCAAGAACAACCUCCAAUUGAUCACAAUCUUCCAAAUACAAUUUUUUCAGUUUCCCAAGUCUUUGCGCAGCAGAUGCAGGAAGGAUGGCUUUUAGUUUGUUGCAACAAUUAAUGUAUAGAAACUCUAGAUUGCCCAGGUCAAGUAACUCAGUAGAGCACUUAUAUAUGUGCUUUAGUCCUCCCAAAUCUUUCAACUCAAGUUCCCAUAAACGGGGAGGAACAUCUUCUUUCUUCUCAAAUAUAUACUCUAAAGCAUUGCAACAUUCCACUUGGAGCACUUCAAGUUCCUUCAAUUGUAGCUGUGGAUUAAGAGAACCAAAAACAUUUGACAAUUUUGGGCACCCAUUAAACCUCAACUUUUUGAGCUUCAUCAUGGACAGGGACAUUUCAUAAGGUAGCUCACCUUUGCAUAAUCCUUUUAGGGCUUUCAAAUAUGAAAGCGACAAUGUUUCCAGGUCCACCAAACAAGUUCCCUGCUGCUGCUGUGUUGUGGGUAGAAUCUCCCAUUCUUCAGCAUUGAUCAAGUACUCGAGCUUGGAGCAGUAGCUGAUAUACAGAGAUCUCAAGACAGCUAAACUAUCUCUUAGAUCUCUCUCUGAGAAUAGUAGGGGAAAGAUAUUUCUUAACCCUUUGAGUUUAGAUAGAGAGAGAUCAUUUGUUCUCGGCAGUAAUGGCUUGAUGCAACCAUACCUGGUAACCCACAUUGUUGGAUCUUUGAUUAAACCUUUAAGAUUCAAACAAUUUUUUCUAGAUAAAAAUCUAGCUAUUUUCUCCAUACGAUCAGGGAAAACACGUCCAUAUCCUAUGGAUAUUUUGAAAACCUCCAAAUCAGGGAAAGAGAAGCCUUCAGGUAUGUGUUCAAAAUUCUUUAUAACAAUCGUGAAGGCAGUUAAGCGAGGCAGAGAUUUCAACUCAGUUAUGUCAAAACUUUCAAAGUUACCAAACCUUUCUAAUUGUGAAGACCACAUGUACAACUCUUGCAACUGGGGUAAACUGGAUAUGACAUUGUGAGGGAAUAUAGAAUCCAUGUGUGGAAGAUGGUAACAAUGUUCCAAAUCCAGCAACUUUAGACUAGUUAACUUUCUCAUUGCACUCACUGGCUCAGUAAAUAUACUUCCUCUGAAGCUAAGAAUUUCUAGCAACUUUAGUUCUUCAAGGGAACUGGUAUCACCCACUCUACCAUAUUGGAGAAUCAAUGUCCGGAGAUUUGUGAGAUGACCAAGUGAGAUGUGGGGAAUUGAUUCUUCAAAAGGAAAAGGUAAAUUGCUUCUCUGAUCAACAACUUUAAGGGUUUUCAUCCCUUUGAGGACUCCUUCUGGCAUAGGCAAUUGCGAAUUGGAGUUAUCUCUUAACAACAAUGUUUGUAGGUUUGGACAAUCCCAAGAAGCAGGAUAUUCUGGAAUUUGACUUUGCAUAAUUGAGAUGGCAGCGUAACGUUUUAAAUUUUCAAUAUUCGGCCACUCCUCAAGCUUUUCACCAUCAGCUUUCGCAAAAUACACAUCAGAUGUUAUUGAUUUGGCCACAUCACGAACAACAUCAUGCAUCUUGACAUAGCCGUCCCAUUUGCUUGUUAAAAGUAAACAUGAUUCUUUGAGAUUGUUGACAAUAGAACGAGCUCUAUUUCUUGCUUCCUGUAUUCUCACAUCUUCAAAUAUUCCCAGACCAAUCCCAUAUCUUACUAAAUCCUCCACAGGAAUGUCGAAAUCCUCAGGAAAUAAACAGCAAAACAGGAACAUAAACUUGGCUUCCUUAUCCCUCAGGUAAUCAUAGCUUAAUCUAAGGCACUUAUAUACUUCAUCAUCCACACCUUCAAUGUUCGCAGGUCGAGCUUGCUUAAGUUCUAGAGCUGCCUCUUUCCAUUGUUCCAAGUCUUUGCCUCUCAUUGCCCUCCCAACUGUUAGAAUCGCUAUGGGCAAGCCUCUACAUUCUUUGCAAAUCUCCUUUGCCACCGAAUUCAUUGUGGGAGACUCAAUUACAUCGCCGACAUUCCUCUUAAGCAAGCUCCAGGAUUCUUGCUCUGAUAGAACAUGAAACCGGACGAUCUUUAUGGACUCAAUUCUUGAGGCCAUCGCAUUGCACACUUGUCUACGUCGUGUCGUGAUCAUAAUUUUACAACCUAUAUGGUCAUUACCAAAUGGAAUGCCUAUGGAUGCAAGGUCAAGUUUGGCCCAAAUAUCAUCCAAGAUAAUGAGGGUCUUAUUCUCUUUCUUUAGUCUAGUAUGCAACAUCCUUGCUCUUCCUUGUUCGCUACUUGUCUGCUUGAAAUCCAAACCCAACAUUUCUGCUAUCUGCUCCUGAAUCCUUCUUACUGAAAUAGUCUGUGACACCACAGCCAUUACAACAGCAUCAAAAAGCUUAACUUGUUCAACCUCUUUGGCAAUUUCUUUCACCAGAGUGGUUUUACCGAUUCCUCCCAUUCCUUGUAUCCCAAUAAAAUUGGUUCCUUCAUCCUUCAAUGCCUCCAUGAUCUUCCGUAUAUAUUCUUUCGUGCUUUCAAAAAUCACAAAAUCUUGAGAUGGCAUGGAAAGCACCUCUGGAGGAGGUGCAGGGUUGGCAACUUGAUCAAACUCACCAUCUUUUUUAAGCUCCUUAAUUGCUGUUGUUUUCUUUGCAGCUUUCCUUCCCAGCUGAUAACGAGAAAUCAAAUCAAGAAACCUCACUUCCUUGACAACUUGUAGUAAUUCUGUAGCCUCUGAAAUGGCUUCAUCAGCUCUCGAUGUCCAGUUCUGAACCUCAUUUCUGAUAACCAGACCAUUUCUUUUUGCUGUAUUUAUCGAUGACUCUUUACCUUCUCGUGCUGCCUCUAGUAUUUGAACUUGCUCACUGAGAGUAUCUAUGUUCCUUUGGUAGAGAAUACAGUAGCCAAAUUGACGCCCAAUUGUCAACAAGGCACUCUCCAAUUUUUCCAAAUAUUGAAACUAGAACUUCCAUGGCUUGAUUGAUAAUCCCGCUACCACUCGAGGUAGCACGUGGCGCCCACACGGGGCUACUGGAGCUCUGACAACCGUCGACCCGCCACCACAGAUGUGCCUCGACUUCCUGAGUCUGCUGGUACCCACCACACUCGCAAAUGAGCUCCAGUUUGGCCAGAUCAAGGCUUUUCCCCAUUUGUUUCUCUCUCUUCUGUUCUCCUUCCUCCAACCAUUAAAUCAGCCAAACUUGAUGUCUAUGGAAAGUUUAGACGAUGAGGAUAAGGAUGAUGUCCUGCAUCAUUGCCAUCUUUUACUUAUUUGGCCGAAAAAAAUUGAACUUCAAUUUUACCCCUUUGUUUUUUCUCUCUAAAUGCUUGGUUUCUCUCCCUAACAACAAACCCAACACUCACCUUCAAGGAGGAGUUGUAAGUAGCUGGAAUUUUGAAGUCAUGGCUACUUAGAAAUUGAGGGAAAAACUCUCGCUAAUAAUCUCUCUCCGCCCUCUAUUUUUCUUCUUUCCCUUCCUUU